CUAGCUUUCUCUUUCUCUCUCUCUUUUUAAGGUACCGGGGAUCAAACUCUGGACCUUGAGGUUGCGAGGCAGGCGGCGGAACCACUGAGCUAAGUCCUCGGCCCUUACUUUCUCUUGCAGACUUCCCGGACUUGUUUUUGUUUGUGUCCUUCCGCCAAAGUGAGACAAGUCUGUGGUAUCCACAGACCCGGUUUUGCUUCCAAACUAGAACUUCGGAGUUUAUUUGAUUUCAUUGUCAACAACCUAAUUUCUUUCCAGCGGAAGGAUCCUCAGAAAACCAGAGGGGGUGGAAGGUAAAAAUAAAUCAAGCUGUUAUGACUCAGUUUGUGACAGAAACUGAGCCUCAAGCAGUUAAUAGUCCUUUGAAAAUUCAUGCAAAACAGACCAACUAUAGGAGGAGCCCAGAUGGUGUGACAUGGGGAGAGACAAAGCUACGAGGUGGCCAAAGACAUGAAGGAGUGGUCUUGCUGUGUACUUCAGGCUGGCCUCAAACCCGGUGAUUCUCCUUCCUCAGCCUCCCAAGUACUGGGAUUACAG
Non-coding RNA from Heterocephalus glaber (naked mole-rat), 537 nucleotides. The record is from RefSeq and is a predicted model, not a curated record. NCBI's taxonomy places the organism in Eukaryota, Metazoa, Chordata, Mammalia, Rodentia, Bathyergidae.